Brassica napus (rape) is the source of this 1192-nucleotide long non-coding RNA. RefSeq lists it as uncharacterized. The record is from RefSeq and is a predicted model, not a curated record. NCBI's taxonomy places the organism in Eukaryota, Viridiplantae, Streptophyta, Magnoliopsida, Brassicales, Brassicaceae. The transcript is spliced from 3 exons.
AACAUUGUGGACCCCACCUUUUUUUUUUAAUUGAUGGAUAAUGAAUGAACUUCGACAAAAAAAUGGGCUUUGGGCUUAUUGAUUUUCUGUUUAUUAGGUUUUGUAUCUGUCCAAAGUGGUGAAACGGACAAAGCUAAGAAGAUUAGGGAAGCCGCCAUCUUCACCAUCUCUUUCGUCGCUUGUGAUUCCCCUUCCGGCAAUCAGCUAUUAUGGCCGAUCUUUAAGGCUCUACGCACGUUUUGCGCCUACCAAACGCUUAGUUUCUCCUCUAACGCCUUCAGAGCUCUCAUAUAUAUAGAAUCCCUCGAGGUAAAAGCUCCAUCUUGUCUCAAACUUUUCUUUCUCAGUUUUCCGAUCGCUUUACUUUCUCAUAUCCGUCACGAAAAUGACUUAUCCAGCUGCUCCAGCCGCUUCAGCCGUCGUUCCCUACUCCACCUUCAACUCUCUCCGCCUUGGAAGGUCCACUCAGUCCAUUGUUGGUCGGCUCAUCCGAUUCUAGGAUUUCAGGAACAUUAACAAGAAUGGAGAGUUUAUGGACAUCACCAUUCUCCUCCUUGAUGAACUGGAUUCUGUGAUCUACGGUUUCAUCCAUGCAAUCUCCAAACAAAACAGGAAAACUAAAUGAAUUAUGUUUUUAGCAACCGAAUCUAAAAGAAAUAAAAAACAUCUUACUUAACAAAUUAAAACCUUUUCCUUUGCAGAUUCCGACGACGACGAAGCACCCGAGGACCAACGACAAUGGAAUGAUGCGGACGAAGCCUAACUGAUGGGGCAGAUCUCCUUAGACGGGGAGCCACUCGCCACGAUGCUUCCAGUUUCACCAUUCUUGAAACUCUUAUGAACCACAAAGCCAAUAUAAGAGCUAUGUUUCAAUCCAACGGCUGGAUUUUGUCACAGACCACCGCUAAGCCUGAAGAGGGAAGAGAAGUGGAGUGAUGCGUUUUGAAAGAUGGUUACUUGGAGUUUACAAGAUGAAGAUAGAACCCGUGACGAGGAAGACGAGGAGAAGUGUUACUUGGAAUAUCCUAACGUUGAGGAUGUAGACAAUGUGUGAUCUUAGCGAUGAAGAUUAGUGUAGCUUUAAUAUAUGCUACUACGGUCCUUGAGCUCCCUAACAAGUACUAGCAAACAAUGUGUAUUUUAAAAAAAUAAAAUAAUUUUGUAAUGCAAGUAGUUUGAAACUUUGAGUAUU